UCUAAAUGCUGCUAAACAGAAAAAGAGCGGGAAGGAUGAGGAAAUUGUUUCCCUACGUGCAGAACUUGAGAAUUUGAAAGACGAGGCCACAGCUGCUGCAGAACGGCUUCAAGAAGCGGAAUCCGAAGCGAAGUCUCUUCGCACAAUGACUCAAAGGAUGAUUUUAACACAGGACGA
Camelina sativa (false flax) is the source of this 177-nucleotide non-coding RNA. The record is from RefSeq and is a predicted model, not a curated record. NCBI's taxonomy places the organism in Eukaryota, Viridiplantae, Streptophyta, Magnoliopsida, Brassicales, Brassicaceae.